RNAcentral lists this long non-coding RNA (225 nucleotides) under Lathyrus oleraceus (garden pea). RNAcentral's name for it is "Pisum sativum (pea) long non-coding RNA (PSAT_LNC030642)". Lineage: Eukaryota; Viridiplantae; Streptophyta; Magnoliopsida; Fabales; Fabaceae. The record is from RNAcentral.
UUAUCUCCAAAUCUGGAAAGUUUCCAACUAGCUUUGACUUUUCAGAGUCAAGCUUAUCAAUAAAUCUAACAUGUGUUGAUUCUUCCACAAUUUGUGUUUCUGUAUUAUAUACUCUAUAGCCUUUAGAGCGUUAUGAGUAUCCCAAUAUAAUUCACUUUUGUGCUUUAGAGUCAAACUUUUUCAGAUUAUCUUUAGUAUUUAGGAUAAAACAAGAACAUCCAAAUG